GGGCGUAAAGAGCUCGUAGGCGGCUUGCUGCGUCUGCUGUGAAAUCCCGGGGCUCAACCCCGGGCGUGCAGUGGAUACUGGCCGGCUGGAGGCAGGCAGGGGAGAACGGAAUUCCCGGUGUAGCGGUGAAAUGCGCAGAUAUCGGGAGGAACACCGGUGGCGAAGGCGGUUCUCUGGGCCUGUUCUGACGCUGAGGAGCGAAAGCGUGGGGAGCGAACAGGAUUAGAUACCCUGGUAGUCCACGCCGUAAACGUUGGGCGCUAGGUGUGGGUCCCUUCCACGGGGUCUGUGCCGCAGCUAACGCAUUAAGCGCCCCGCCUGGGGAGUACGGCCGCAAGGCUAAAACUC
RNAcentral lists this ribosomal RNA (348 nucleotides) under uncultured bacterium. RNAcentral describes it as "bacterial SSU rRNA". It matches the Rfam family "Bacterial small subunit ribosomal RNA", at positions 556 to 902 of the family's 1533-position model. The record is from RNAcentral.